Molecule: long non-coding RNA, 968 nt
Organism: Pipra filicauda (Wire-tailed manakin)
Lineage: Eukaryota; Metazoa; Chordata; Aves; Passeriformes; Pipridae
Exons: 3
Source: RefSeq, a predicted model, not a curated record
AUUGUGCUGAGGGGAAAAUUUCAUCUUCCUGCCUCUUUUAUUCCCUUUUCCCGGAAAACAGGGAGCAGGGAAAGGGCUCUGGGAUGGAUCCCACACGGAGCACAAGGGCCCCGGGCCCACAGGAGCCAAGAAUUUGGGGCAACAUUUCUGAGCCUCGCUUUUGUUCCUGGAUGGAAAACCCCCGGGAUCCAUGGGAGCAGCACCUCCUUCCAGGAACCAAAGGGCCCUGGGGGGCCCUCACUGUACCCGGGAUGGGAGAGCACCUGGGAAGGAGAUUCCAGCUGGGUGGCACCGCUGUGGGACACGAGGAUCCAAGUUUUCACGUGCUCUUGGCUUCCCCCUCCCAAAGGAAGCUGGUUAAUCCCACUGGGAAUCCCACCAGCAGGAAUGCUGAAGGUAAAAAUGGGGUGCAAUGGGGAAAGGGCUCCCAGCAGCCAGAGGGAAGGAAUGGGAGGAGAGAGGAGCUGGAAUGCCGUGGUUUGGAAAGGUCUGGUGUCUCAUAACCUGCCAGAAAUAGAAGCAAACCCUAUCCAGGGGCCUGGCUCCUCAUCUCCCACUGAUCCCACCCAAUCCAGAGGGGGCUCCUGCCUUUCCCACCCUAAAAGGAGCCCACAAGGAGCAGGUUUGGGGGGUCAGGCACCCCCAGGCCCUGGGUUCUCCCGGGGUUCCAGGGGCACAGCCAUUCCUGCAGGAUCCUGCUCUGUCCCUCCAGGGCGUUCCUGGCACUGCCCCAGGCCUGAUUUAGCAGCCCAGGAGCUGGAGAAUUUCCAUUCCUUCUAAUGUUACCGGGAAUGGCUGAAUGCAGGGGGACAGCGAGCCACCCAGGGGGGCAACCCAGGUCCCUGCUGACUCGGGAAGGGCAGAGAACACCUUCCAAACCAUGGAUUAGCUGGGAAAACACACCAGGAAGGCACCUCUGGAAGGCAAAACACUCCAGCUUCUCAUGCUGGAAGGGGCAGGAACAUCAG